RNAcentral lists this ribosomal RNA (498 nucleotides) under uncultured bacterium. Its description in RNAcentral is "partial 16S ribosomal RNA". It matches the Rfam family "Bacterial small subunit ribosomal RNA", at positions 30 to 523 of the family's 1533-position model. The record is from RNAcentral.
AUUGAACGCUGGCGGCAUGCCUUACACAUGCAAGUCGAACGGUAACAGGUCUUCGGAUGCUGACGAGUGGCGAACGGGUGAGUAAUACAUCGGAACGUGCCUAGUAGUGGGGGAUAACUACUCGAAAGAGUGGCUAAUACCGCAUGAGAUCUACGGAUGAAAGCAGGGGAUCGCAAGACCUUGUGCUACUAGAGCGGCCGAUGGCAGAUUAGGUAGUUGGUGGGAUAAAAGCUUACCAAGCCGACGAUCUGUAGCUGGUCUGAGAGGACGAUCAGCCACACUGGGACUGAGAUACGGCCCAGACUCCUACGGGAGGCAGCAGUGGGGAAUUUUGGACAAUGGGCGCAAGCCUGAUCCAGCAAUGCCGCGUGCAGGAUGAAGGCCUUCGGGUUGUAAACUGCUUUUGUACGGAACGAAAAGCCCUGGGUUAAUACCCUGGGGUCAUGACGGUACCGUAAGAAUAAGCACCGGCUAACUACGUGCCAGCCGCCGCCGUAA